Oryzias melastigma (Indian medaka) is the source of this 1005-nucleotide long non-coding RNA. RefSeq lists it as uncharacterized. The transcript is spliced from 2 exons. Lineage: Eukaryota; Metazoa; Chordata; Actinopteri; Beloniformes; Adrianichthyidae. The record is from RefSeq and is a predicted model, not a curated record.
AAACCGACCCCGCUUCUUAUGUGGCCCCCAGAAGGAAAAGUUUGGGGAACCCUGAGUUAAACUAGCAGCAAAGACAAAGAUUGAAACAAAGGAAAAGUGGGAAUUCGCAGCAGUCGUCUUCAGUCCAGGACGCAUUUCUUCAUAAAUGUUUUUUUCAGGAUUUUAUUUCAAAAACACAACGUGCGGAUUUUUCCCAGCGACACAAACCGAACGUCAGUUUGUCAGCCGGGAAUCCGACGAACCAUCUGACAAUUUCCUUCAAGCCGGCGGAGUUUAGAGAUGAGAAGCUCUCAGCGCGGAAUCAGAGAAACAUCAGAAACCCGACAGCUUCACAGUCAGCCGAGUCAGAUCCUGACAGGCCGCUCCGCCGAGCUCCCGGCGCCCUGCGCGCCUUGAUCCGAGGUCGUCGGGGAUCAGGCAGGAAGCUCCCGCGGCGAUCCAUUGAUCAACCCGCAGGUGACCGCGGAGCGGCGCGGCGAGGAGCCCGGGGUGCCGGGUCACAUCACAUGUUGGUUCUCGCCGUUUUGCUUCAGCAACACGCACAGGUUUGAAAACAAAUCCAUAAAAAUGCGAAAUCCUUCCAUCUUCACGCCUCCUCUGACCUCCCACCACAGAAGUGAAGAAGUCUCCUUUCCUAAAAAGGCACCAGUGACCCACUAAAGGCUCGGGGACUCUCUCAGAUCGCGUCAGUCCAAUAGAAGCUCAUCUGCCAGCCAUCAUAAAACACCUCCAUAAAACAGCUGGUUGGAAGCCGCAGGAUUUCACACCAGAAACAACAACCACAAGCGGAGCUUCACUUCGGAGCAUCGGAGGAUAUUUUUAAUGUUCGCUGAGGUUUUUCCAUUAAAGCAAAAGCAUGCCGGACCAUUUUGCAUAAAUCUAAUUAUUUUGCAUGCAAUUGGAUUAUGUUGUGCAAUCACAAACGGCCUCACGGUUUAUUGCUUUUGCGGCAAAGCCAGAUUAAAAAACAAAAAUACUUGUCUGAAAAAAAAUAAAAACAAUAAA